RNAcentral lists this ribosomal RNA (500 nucleotides) under uncultured bacterium. RNAcentral's name for it is "partial 16S ribosomal RNA". It matches the Rfam family "Bacterial small subunit ribosomal RNA", at positions 30 to 523 of the family's 1533-position model. The record is from RNAcentral.
AUUGAACGCUGGCGGCAUGCUUUACACAUGCAAGUCGAACGGUAACAGGGUGCCUGCACCGCUGACGAGUGGCGAACGGGUGAGUAAUGCGUCGGAACGUGCCGAGUAGUGGGGGAUAACGCAGCGAAAGUUGUGCUAAUACCGCAUACGUACUGAGGUAGAAAGUGGGGGACCUUCGGGCCUCACGCUAUUCGAGCGGCCGACGUCUGAUUAGCUAGUAGGUGAGGUAAAGGCUCACCUAGGCGACGAUCAGUAGCGGGUCUGAGAGGAUGAUCCGCCACACUGGGACUGAGACACGGCCCAGACUCCUACGGGAGGCAGCAGUGGGGAAUUUUGGACAAUGGGCGGAAGCCUGAUCCAGCCAUGCCGCGUGUAUGAAGAAGGCCUUCGGGUUGUAAGGUACUUUCAGCGGGGAGGAAGGUGUUGAGGUUAAUAACCUCAGCAAUUGACGUUACCCGCAGAAGAAGCACCGGCUAACUCUGUGCCAGCCGCCGCCGUAA